This 501-nucleotide ribosomal RNA is filed under the name uncultured bacterium. RNAcentral describes it as "partial 16S ribosomal RNA". It matches the Rfam family "Bacterial small subunit ribosomal RNA", at positions 29 to 523 of the family's 1533-position model. The record is from RNAcentral.
AUUGAACGCUGGCGGCAUGCCUUACACAUGCAAGUCGAACGGCAGCACGGGUGCUUGCACCUGGUGGCGAGUGGCGAACGGGUGAGUAAUACAUCGGAACGUACCUUAUCGUGGGGGAUAACGCAGCGAAAGCUGUGCUAAUACCGCAUACGCCCUGUGGGGGAAAGCGGGGGAUCGCAAGACCUCGCGCGAUUAGAGCGGCCGAUGCCUGAUUAGCUUGUUGGUGGGGUAAAAGCCCACCAAGGCGACGAUCAGUAGCUGGUCUGAGAGGACGAUCAGCCACACGGGGACUGAGACACGGCCCAGACUCCUACGGGAGGCAGCAGUGGGGAAUUUUGGACAAGGGGGGCAACCCUGAUCCAGCAAUGCCGCGUGAGUGAAGAAGGCCUUCGGGUUGUAAAGCUCUUUUGUCAGGGAAGGAACACCGGCUCUAACACAGUCCGGGAAUGACGGUACCUGAAGAAUAAGCACCGGCUAACUACGUGCCAGCAGCCGCCGUAA